This 1025-nucleotide long non-coding RNA is filed under the name Marmota monax (woodchuck). The record is from RNAcentral. Lineage: Eukaryota; Metazoa; Chordata; Mammalia; Rodentia; Sciuridae.
UUAGAUCUUUCCUCUAUUCUCAUCCAAUACUGAAUUUUGACACUGAGUUCAAUCUUUUUUUGAUAAUUGCAACUUUCCAAGUAGCUCAAAUUCUUGAUACUAUGGAAAUGAAAAGAUUAAAGAUGUUCCCAGAAGCAUAUUUCAGAAUUUAUAUGUACAUUUUGAUAGUGUGCAUAGAAACAAUGCUUCUACAUUGGAGAUCAAACCAAAGAAAUGACCCAUGCAUGGUCGCUUAGGUCAGUAAGAACAGAAGUGUUAUACUGGGGCAAACUUAGGAAGAGAAACUACUAUCUGAUAAGUUCUAUAGGACCCCAAAUCAAUUUGCGCACACAGAAUCCUCCAUGAUGUGGAUAGAUCUAUGGAUAGAUCUUGAUAGUUAAGGAUCUGGAAAAUAAGGUUAUGUGAGUUCCCCCUAUCUGUAGCAAACCAAACUGCCUGGUCCCAUAGUCUAGUAGUAUUCACACUGUGGAUCUUAUCUCAUAGGAGUUCUGUGUUUCUUCUCCUGCCUAAAGAGAACCAGUAGCCUGUGUUGCUUUCAAUUACAUUUUUUUUAAUAGAGGCACACUAUUACUGUUACCUUAUAAAUCUUUUGUGUUUCUUGAUGGGAAUAAUUUCCAUAUCAGAUAUGAAAAAUUAUAUCUCAUAUUUGCUCCCUGUCUUAGUUCCUCUUAACUGUCUCCUGCCUAUCUUAUGGACAACAGGACCAGCUGAAGAGAAUAAUUCUCAUUGCUUAUAUUUGUGUCACCAGGUGUGCUUGAAACAAACAUUAAAAAGUGAAAUGGUUCAUGGGAUUUCAUAGUAAAUUAAUCAGAAACAUAAUAAUUGCUCAGUAAAUUAUUUUUGAACCUUGAAAAAAUUAGUCAUUUUCCCAUUACUUUACCUGAAACCCAAAUGAAAGAAACUUAUUGGAGAAGAUCUUUCAUCUAUAGCCUGAACAGAAUUAACAAAAAUGUAAAAUAUAUAAACUGAAACAGACGUUGAUGAACUUUUCAUGAUUCUUGUGCAUGUAAGUGACUGCAUUCAAC